AUCAUGGAGAGUUUGAUCCUGGCUCAGGAUGAACGCUGGCGGCGUGCCUAACACAUGCAAGUCGAACGUGAAUCUUCGGAUUCUAGUGGCGGACGGGUGAGUAACGCUUAAGAAUCUAACUUCAGGACGGGGACAACAUUUGGAAACGACUGCUAAUACCCGAUGUGCCGCAAGGUGAAACCUAAUUGGCCUGGAGAAGAGCUUGCGUCUGAUUAGCUAGUUGGUGGGGUAAAGGCCUACCAAGGCGACGAUCAGUAGCUGGUCUGAGAGGAUGAGCAGCCACACUGGGACUGAGACACGGCCCAGACUCCUACGGGAGGCAGCAGUGGGGAAUU
This 335-nucleotide ribosomal RNA is filed under the name Burkholderiales bacterium. RNAcentral describes it as "bacterial SSU rRNA". It matches the Rfam family "Bacterial small subunit ribosomal RNA", at positions 1 to 363 of the family's 1533-position model. Lineage: Bacteria; Pseudomonadati; Pseudomonadota; Betaproteobacteria; Burkholderiales. The record is from RNAcentral.